CAAUGAGGUAGAGGCGCAGAAAGAAUGAGUACGCUGUGGAGCUAAGGGAGCUUUGAAGCAGUCGGAAAGGUCAAUUUGCCGAAGCAAAGAAUUGUGCCCUUAUAAUUCUUUGCUGGGUCGUUAUUGAAUAAAUAACGGACUGUCACUGCUUCUAGCGGUGGAGGACUACUUACUAC
This 176-nucleotide non-coding RNA is filed under the name Anaerobacillus alkalilacustris. Its description in RNAcentral is "Lysine sequence". It matches the Rfam family "Lysine riboswitch aptamer". From Rfam's summary of the family: Riboswitches are metabolite binding domains within certain messenger RNAs that serve as precision sensors for their corresponding targets. Allosteric rearrangement of mRNA structure is mediated by ligand binding, and this results in modulation of gene expression. Lineage: Bacteria; Bacillati; Bacillota; Bacilli; Caryophanales; Bacillaceae. The record is from RNAcentral.